RNAcentral lists this ribosomal RNA (253 nucleotides) under uncultured microorganism. Its description in RNAcentral is "partial 16S ribosomal RNA". It matches the Rfam family "Bacterial small subunit ribosomal RNA", at positions 524 to 776 of the family's 1533-position model. The record is from RNAcentral.
UACGGAGGGUGCGAGCGUUAUUCGGAAUUACUGGGCGUAAAGCGCGUGUAGGCGGCAGGGCAAGUCUGGUGUGAAAGCCCGGGGCUCAACCCCGGAAGUGCAUUGGAAACUGCUCUGCUUGAGUACCGGAGAGGAAGGGGGAAUUCCCGGUGUAGCGGUGAAAUGCGUAGAUAUCGGGAGGAAUACCAGUGGCGAAGGCGCCCUUCUGGCUGAUAACUGACGCUGAGGUGCGAGAGCGUGGGGAGCAAACAGG